RNAcentral lists this long non-coding RNA (745 nucleotides) under Ananas comosus (pineapple). RNAcentral's name for it is "long non-coding RNA (ACOM_LNC009220)". The record is from RNAcentral. Lineage: Eukaryota; Viridiplantae; Streptophyta; Magnoliopsida; Poales; Bromeliaceae.
CGGGUAGAGAGAGAAAGAGAGAGAGAGAGAGAGAAAGAGAGAGAGAGUAUUAUUUGAAAAUAGAAUUUAAAUUUUUAAAAUUUAAAAUUUGUAAUCUGAAAAUUAAAAUUUAAAAUUCUAAAUUUUAAAGUUUAAAUUUCAUAUUUUAAAUUUUAAAAUUUUAAAUUUAAUAUUUUAUAUAUUUCAAAUUUAAAGUUGGUCAUAAAUUUAAAUUUUAAAAUUUAAAUUUUAAAAUUUGAAUAUUUAAAUUUUAAAAUUUAAAUUUUAAAUUUUAAAAUUUAUAAAUUAAAAUUUAAAAUUUAAAAUUANUUACAAGUUUAAAAUUUAAAAAUUUAAAUUCAAAUAUAAUGAGAGGGGUAAUAUCAUUAUUUUCUAUUUAUAACUAUCAACUAUUCUUCUUAUUCCAUCUUUUCUAUCCAAACGCUAUUUUUCUUAUUUCCGGAAACAACCAAAUUUUCAUCCAAAUACAAAAUUGGUCUAGUUCUCGCUUAUACCUAAACUUGUACCUAUCCCUGGUAUAAGCUAGUUCUUACUUAUAUCCGAACCAAACGAAGCCUUAGAAAACAACCAUCUAUUCCAAUGAUAGGUCUACAUCCUUCCUUUAAUCCCUUGAUUUGAGCAUCAUAUGAAACAAAGAUUCGUUGAAACAUAGGGGCUAACUCAGGAUGAGACCUUUCCAUAUAUAAAAAAGCAAGGCUUCCUGGAUUCCUCACCUUGAUUAUAUUGCAAUAAUCCUAUAUUUCAU